GAUGAAGAACGCAGCGAAAUGCGAUAAGUAAUGUGAAUUGCAGAAUUCAGUGAAUCAUCGAAUCUUUGAACGCACAUUGCGCCCUCUGGUAUUCCGGGGGGCAUGCCUGUUCGAGCGUCAUUAUAACCACUCAAGCUCUCGCUUGGUAUUGGGGUUCGCGGUUUCGCGGCCCCUAAAAUCAGUGGCGGUGCCUGUCGGCUCUACGCGUAGUAAUACUUCUCGCGAUUGAGUUCGAUAGGUCUACUUGCCAGUAACCCCCAAUUUUUACAGGUUGACCUCGGAUCAGGUAAGGAUACCCGCUGAACUUAAGCAUAUCAAUAAGCGGAGGA
RNAcentral lists this unclassified non-coding RNA (329 nucleotides) under soil metagenome. Its description in RNAcentral is "partial contains 5.8S ribosomal RNA, internal transcribed spacer 2, and large subunit ribosomal RNA". The stretch from base 1 to 120 matches the Rfam family "5.8S ribosomal RNA", at positions 35 to 154 of the family's 154-position model. The record is from RNAcentral.